UGGGGAAUCUUGGACAAUGGGCGCAAGCCUGAUCCAGCCAUGCCGCGUGAGUGAAGAAGGCCUUAGGGUUGUAAAACUCUUUCGCCGGUGAAGAUAAUGACGGUAGCCGGAGAAGAAGCCCCGGCUAACUUCGUGCCAGCAGCCGCGGUAAUACGAAGGGGGCUAGCGUUGUUCGGAAUUACUGGGCGUAAAGCGCACGUAGGCGGGUCUGUAAGUAGGGGGUGAAAUCCCAGGGCUCAACCCUGGAACUGCCUUCUAGACUGCAGGCCUUGAGGUCAGGAGAGGCGAGUGGAAUACCGAGUGUAGAGGUGAAAUUCGUAGAUAUUCGGUGGAACACCAGUGGCGAAGGCGACUCGCUGGACUGAUACUGACGCUGAGGUGCGAAAGCGUGGGGAGCAAACAG
This 403-nucleotide ribosomal RNA is filed under the name uncultured bacterium. RNAcentral describes it as "bacterial SSU rRNA". It matches the Rfam family "Bacterial small subunit ribosomal RNA", at positions 355 to 775 of the family's 1533-position model. The record is from RNAcentral.